Molecule: non-coding RNA, 2110 nt
Organism: Manis javanica (Malayan pangolin)
Lineage: Eukaryota; Metazoa; Chordata; Mammalia; Pholidota; Manidae
Source: RefSeq, a predicted model, not a curated record
GAUGAGUAAUGCUUUGUGGAAUGUUUGAACUUGGUACUGUAAUUGAAAACAAGUUGAUGUUAAUUGGUUAGAUUCACAGUCUGCCACAGUCAAAGUAUGCAAAUAGUUAAAAACAAACAAACUGCAAAACCACAAAAAUCCUCCACUUUCAAAAUUUUCAUCUCACAUUUACCAUAGGCAACUACAGUCUGUUAGAAAGAUCUUCUCCAUACUGGUUUCUCCUUCAUUUUUCCUUUAGGUCUUUCCUUUGCUCAACUCUCAUUCUAUCAUUGAAGUCUUUGUUCAAAUCUCAUUCUAUCAUGAAGUCUUCACCGCAUAUAAAAGAGCUUCUCACAUUCCCAAUCCUUAUCCCCUUUUAACUUGCUUUAUUUUCCCCAUUGCACUCAGUAUCUGACAUAUUAUGUCUUUAUUUAUUUCCUGUUUUCCCUUCAGUACAAUGAAAGUUCCACAAGGGUGAGCAGGAACCUGUUUUUUUCCCUGUUGGAAGCCAACCACUUAGAACAAUAUAUGCUAUAUAGUCCCAGAUUGAAUGAUUAAAUGGUAACUAUAGUGACAUAGCAUACUCAAGUGUAUGUCUAAUGGCAGACAAAUUCAAAAAAGAAUGCUAAUUUUUUAAGGCUUGAGUAUAUGACCAUACUGAAUUUUUUAAGCUGGAAGACAGUUAUUCUAACAGACCAUUGCUUAAGACUCUCGAUCUAAUUAUCUUAGUGCUGCUUAUGAAGUAAGCAUCUCUCCACUCCAUACUCAAUACUUCCACACACUGAGUUUAUAAUCCUGGGGUUGAGACUCUGCAAACUAUGCCAGAUGACUUCCUAGGCAGUUUUAUCAGUAGAAGUUGCUGGAGGAAUGAUGGAAAGCCAGAGUAGGGGAGAAGAGACUUGUUCCUUUCUGUUUGCCUCCUUCUCCUAUCAGCAUCACCUCACAUUAAUACCCUUUACUCUGUCAUCAAUACUUCGUUCCAGCCUCCCUCUACUUUUACUCUAAGAACCAAACUCAUCAUGACCCCUCAGAGGUCAGCACCAGCCAAGCUGUGCCCACUUGUCAGAGGUCUGAGCCCUAGCUCAGCAGUCUUGCUCCUCUGAUCUUCUGAAUUAUCACCCAGCUUUUCCCUUUGUUCCUUCAGCUGCAAAGUUGAAAUGGCUCCUUGCAAUUCACAUAUGUGGAUCACCUCAGUGUUCCCAUUUUGGUGUGGAGACCCCCUCCAAUCCCUGUAUAAUAGUACCCUCCUAUUGAGUUCCCUCUGGUACUGUAUCUGUUUCCCUGUUAGAUGCUUGAUUUUCAGCGACUGUUUCCCAAAACUUUCCAUUGUAACAGCUAUUUUUCUCUAAGUCAAACUGUUAAAAAUAACAGAGCCAAUAUCAAACUGUCAAUUAAUGUAAAUAAAAACAAUAAGGCAAAUGAGCAAAAUUUGUUCUACGGCAUUGGCAAUAAUCCAGGUUAAGUAAAGGUAGGUUUAAAAUAAGUAAAUUUGAUGAUAAUUAUGUUGGUGUUUUAGCCGUAUGUACAUACGAGCUGUGUUUCUUCUCCCUCAUCUAGAUUAUGAUAAGAACAGAUGGAAAUGUCUAACUUUAGGCGGUUUAGGUGAUUUAUUUCUUCUGCAGACUUGCAUUGCUCCUGCGGACCAUAGAACUAAAAGGGUCACACAUGCGGAGACUGAAUGAUGCAGCGUGACAGCCCUGGGGUUUCACUGCCUGGGUUUCCGUUCAAAUCCUCUACUUUGUGACCUUGGGCAAAUUACUCAUUCUCUUAGUUUCCUCAUGUGAAAAUAGGGAAAGACACCGGCACCUGGGUCCGGGAGCAUAUCAAAGGCUGCUUGCUCAGCUCCCAAGGUGGGCCGAGGUAUUGUCUACUUGCUAAAGAAUCCUGCCUCUUGAACUUCCUGGGUGUUAAAAUGCAAUCUUAUCUUCAAGAUGGAAUUCUUCCUGCCUUUUACCAUGCUGUCUACAGCUGGGUCUGCAUGCUAAGUUAGUUGCUCAGCUUGCAGAAUCACCUAGUCAAAUCUGAAGGAGGAAAGACAGCACAGAGGCCUGGGCCUUUUAGUAUGCUAAAGUAAAUCUUCCACAUGGUUACAAAUGUUUAGCGUAAUAAAACGUGUGCUACUCUUCUUUAU